This 478-nucleotide ribosomal RNA is filed under the name uncultured Acidobacteriota bacterium. Its description in RNAcentral is "bacterial SSU rRNA". It matches the Rfam family "Bacterial small subunit ribosomal RNA", at positions 406 to 902 of the family's 1533-position model. Lineage: Bacteria; Pseudomonadati; Acidobacteriota. The record is from RNAcentral.
CGAUGAAGCCCUUCGGGGUGUAAAGCUCUUUCGACAGGGACGAUAAUGACGGUACCUGUAGAAGAAGCUGCGGCUAACUACGUGCCAGCAGCCGCGGUAAUACGUAGGCGGCGAGCGUUGUUCGGAAUUACUGGGCGUAAAGAGUGUGUAGGCGGUGCUCUAAGUUCGGUGUGAAAUCUCCGGGCUUAACUGGGAGGGUGCGCCGGAAACUGGAAUGCUCGAGUGUGGGAGAGGAAAGCGGAAUUCCUGGUGUAGCGGUGAAAUGCGUAGAUAUCAGGAGGAACACCUGUGGUGUAGACGGCUUUCUGGACCAUUGCUGACGCUGAGACACGAAAGCGUGGGUAGCAAACAGGAUUAGAUACCCUGGUAGUCCACGCCCUAAACGAUGCAUACUUGGUGUCGGCCAUUCAGUUGGUCGGUGCCGGAGCUAACGCGUUAAGUAUGCCGCCUGGGGAGUACGGUCGCAAGGCUGAAACUC